UACGGAGGGGGCUAGGGUUGUUCGGAAUUACUGGGCGUAAAGUGCACGUAGGCGGACUGGAAAGUCAGGGGUGAAAUCCCGGGGCUCAACCCCGGAACUGCCUUUGAAACUCCCGGUCUUGAGGUCGAGAGAGGUGAGUGGAAUUCCGAGUGUAGAGGUGAAAUUCGUAGAUAUUCGGAGGAACACCAGUGGCGAAGGCGGCUCACUGGCUCGAUACUGACGCUGAGGUGCGAAAGCGUGGGGGGCAAACAGG
Molecule: ribosomal RNA, 253 nt
Filed under: uncultured bacterium
Lineage: Bacteria
Description: partial 16S ribosomal RNA
Rfam family: Bacterial small subunit ribosomal RNA
Source: RNAcentral